RNAcentral lists this transfer RNA (67 nucleotides) under Marmota monax (woodchuck). RNAcentral's name for it is "tRNA.Ala". The record is from RNAcentral. Lineage: Eukaryota; Metazoa; Chordata; Mammalia; Rodentia; Sciuridae.
GGUUGUGGCUCAGUGGUAGAGUGCUCGCCUUGCACAUGCAGAACCCUGGGUUCAAUUCUCAACACCA